This 459-nucleotide ribosomal RNA is filed under the name uncultured bacterium. Its description in RNAcentral is "partial 16S ribosomal RNA". It matches the Rfam family "Bacterial small subunit ribosomal RNA", at positions 338 to 795 of the family's 1533-position model. The record is from RNAcentral.
CCUACGGGAGUCAGCAGUGAGGAAUAUUGGUCAAUGGCCGCAGGGCUGAACCAGCCAAGUCGCGUGAGGGAUGACGGUCCUAUGGAUUGUAAACCUCUUUUGUCAGGGAGCAAAGGGCGCCACGUGUGGCGCUUUGCGAGUACCUGAAGAAAAAGCAUCGGCUAACUCCGGGCCAGCGGCCGCGGUAAUACGGAGGUAGCGAGCGUUAUCCGGAUUUAUUGGGUUUAAAGGGUGCGCAGGCGGAAUGUCAAGUCAGCGGUAAAAUUUCGGGGCUCAACCCCGUCGUGCCGUUGAAACUGGCGUUCUUGAGUGAGCGAGAAGUAUGCGGAAUGCGUGGUGUAGCGGUGAAAUGCAUAGAUAUCACGCAGAACUCCGAUUGCGAAGGCAGCAUACCGGCGCUCAACUGACGCUCAUGCACGAAAGCGUGGGUAUCGAACAGGAUUAGAUACCCUUGUAGUC